UAACUGCCUUGGAUGGGAAUACAGCUGGAACAGCUGCUAAUACCGCAUAAUGCAGUUGGGUCGCAUGGCUCUGACUGCCAAAGAUUUAUCGCUCUGAGAUGGACUCGCGUCUGAUUAGCUAGUUGGUGGGGCAACGGCCCACCAAGGCGACGAUCAGUAGCCGGACUGAGAGGUUGGCCGGCCCACAUUGGGACUGAGACACGGCCCAGACUCCUACGGGAGGCAGCAG
RNAcentral lists this ribosomal RNA (229 nucleotides) under uncultured bacterium. Its description in RNAcentral is "partial 16S ribosomal RNA". It matches the Rfam family "Bacterial small subunit ribosomal RNA", at positions 122 to 354 of the family's 1533-position model. The record is from RNAcentral.